CCCUUAGAGUUUGAUCCUGGCUCAGAACGAACGCUGGCGGCGUGCUUAAUACAUGCAAGUCGCACGAGAAAGUCCUUCGGGAUGAGUAGAGUGGCGCACGGGUGAGUAAUACAUAGGAACGCACCUUUAGGUGGGGAAUAACCACGGGAAACUGUGGCUAAUACCGCAUAAUCUCGCGAGAGUAAAGCUGGCCUCUAUUUAUAAGCUAGCGCCAAAAGAACGGCCUAUGUCCCAUUAGCUAGUUGGUAGGGUAAUGGCCUACCAAGGCGACGAUGGGUAGCUGGUCUGAGAGGAUGAUCAGCCACACUGGGACUGAGACACGGCCCAGACUCCUACGGGAGGCAGCAGUAGGGAAUUUUGCACAAUGGGCGCAAGCCUGAUGCAGCAACGCCGCGUGAGUGAAGAAGGCCUUUGGGUUGUAAAGCUCUUUCGGCUGGGAAGAUGGGUUCGUUGGCGAAUAGCCCUCGGAUUUGACGGUACCAGAAGAAGAAGCACCUGCUAACUACGUGCCAGCAGCAGCGGUAAUACGUAGGGUGCAAGUGUUGUUCGGAAUUAUUGGGCGUAAAGCGCGCGUAGGCGGGUUUGUAAGUCGAUUGUGAAAGCCCUGGGCUUAACCUGGGAAUGGCAGUCGAAACUGCAAAUCUUGAAUGUCUGAGAGGAUGGCGGAAUUCCCGGUGUAGUAGUGAAAUACGUAGAUAUCGGGAGGAACACCUGAGC
This 717-nucleotide ribosomal RNA is filed under the name uncultured bacterium. Its description in RNAcentral is "bacterial SSU rRNA". It matches the Rfam family "Bacterial small subunit ribosomal RNA", at positions 1 to 715 of the family's 1533-position model. The record is from RNAcentral.